Molecule: long non-coding RNA, 572 nt
Filed under: Mustela putorius furo (domestic ferret)
Lineage: Eukaryota; Metazoa; Chordata; Mammalia; Carnivora; Mustelidae
Description: lncRNA (ENSMPUG00000030589.1)
Source: RNAcentral
UUUCUCUGGGUCUGUAGGAUACAGGCUAUUUAUUUUGAUCUGAAAGUGACCAGCAGUAUUUUAUGCAUUUGUUCCAGAUGUUGCACCCAAAAGGGCUAACCUAGCCCGUGGACAACAGUGUCAUCUCGGCUCCCGAAGUGGGGAUAGAACCUUCGCCCGCUGGAGGACAGUGGAUGCUGCAGAGAUUUGUGGGGCCUGUUUGACGGUAACAGGAGGUGAAUGGCCACAAAGGCAAUGGACCUUUACUCUCACACCGCUAGCGGACGUCCAUAUGCUGCUGGAUCCAUCUGACCUGCUGCCCAAACUCCACAGAUUCGGCACCAUCUCCGGGGGGACACAGUGGACACAGAGCCCGAGGAGGGUCCUGGCCAGUCUACUCUGAGGUGUUACACUAGGGUAUGAGGGUCUGAUCUUACUGGUGUGAGGGGCGGUGGACCAGCCAAGCUGGUGUCCCUGCCUCCCUCUGCUGGGUUCUCACUGGCAGCUUCACUCAGAAUCACAGGUGGCCUCACCCAUCCUUUAGGCAGGAUCUUGAACUUGAGCACAGGGACGUUCUGAGAGUCGUGAGUCUG